GUAGGUUAGAGUUUUACAGGCCUU
RNAcentral lists this transfer RNA (24 nucleotides) under Gehyra purpurascens. RNAcentral describes it as "partial tRNA-Ala". Lineage: Eukaryota; Metazoa; Chordata; Lepidosauria; Squamata; Gekkonidae. The record is from RNAcentral. RNAcentral also lists the same sequence under 1 other name.